CCCCUCUCAGGGUCGCACCUGGAGAGUUUCCAGUACUCUACCAGUCUUGACUACCGGAGGGAGAGUCAAGCAGAGGCAUACACGUUCCAUUCCUAGUUUGAGCAGUGCCUAAGGAGUGGAAAGCGAUCUGCUACAAGU
This is a small nucleolar RNA of Ornithorhynchus anatinus (platypus), 138 nucleotides long. The record is from RefSeq and is a predicted model, not a curated record. Lineage: Eukaryota; Metazoa; Chordata; Mammalia; Monotremata; Ornithorhynchidae.